Molecule: transfer RNA, 75 nt
Filed under: Streptococcus alactolyticus
Lineage: Bacteria; Bacillati; Bacillota; Bacilli; Lactobacillales; Streptococcaceae
Also listed under: 1 other name
Description: tRNA-Asp
Rfam family: tRNA
About the family: Transfer RNA (tRNA) molecules are approximately 80 nucleotides in length.
Source: RNAcentral
UGGUCCCGUGGUGUAGCGGUUAUCACGUCGCCCUGUCACGGCGAAGAUCGCGGGUUCGAUUCCCGUCGGGACCGU